This 203-nucleotide long non-coding RNA is filed under the name Mytilus galloprovincialis (Mediterranean mussel). Lineage: Eukaryota; Metazoa; Mollusca; Bivalvia; Mytilida; Mytilidae. The record is from RNAcentral.
GGCUAUAAUGGAAAGUUGGAAUGAGGUAAGAUUUACUUAAUAGUCUUCUUGUCAUUUGUAGUUUUGUUCCCCAUUAGUGUACAAUUAGAUACAAGUAUGUGAUAAUUUGAGAUAAAAACUAGUAGAAUUCUAAGUGAACUACCAAACUACUUAUUCCAAAAACAAAAAAAACAAAACUGGGACAUAGCAAGGUGCACUCAAAA